Trametes cingulata is the source of this 108-nucleotide non-coding RNA. The record is from the annotation of a GenBank genome assembly. Lineage: Eukaryota; Fungi; Basidiomycota; Agaricomycetes; Polyporales; Polyporaceae.
CCUUCGAUAGCUCAGUUGGAAGAGCGUGAGACUGUAAUCGGGUACUCCCUUCACAUCCUCGGAUGUGAAGACAUCUCAAGGUCCCUGGUUCGAACCCGGGUCGAAGGA